Molecule: long non-coding RNA, 2484 nt
Organism: Heterocephalus glaber (naked mole-rat)
Lineage: Eukaryota; Metazoa; Chordata; Mammalia; Rodentia; Bathyergidae
Source: Ensembl
UUCGGGCUCCAAGCCAGAGCCUUCACAGUCCUCUUUCUGUCCCUUUCCCUGCGAGCGAGUGGCAGCCAGGGGAGUUAUGCGUUGCUGCAACGCGCCGCGGAGAGCAGCAGCGGGCCGGGCACAGCUGGCCCAACAAACGUUCUUCUGAGCUUCGCGUCCUUCGCUCCGAGUUCUGGCUCAGCUCCUGGAACUAGCUGGGUGCCAGCGGCGUUCCGGAGAGUCCAGCCAGCUCCAGGCGUCUGGGCGCUUCGAGUCUUUGAUCUUCAGAACCUGGCAGCCUCUGCUGCUCCACUCUCCUCCCGGAAACCACCCAAAAGAUUAACUUCUGAAGCCCUCAGGGCAGAGGGAGGAGAAAGGGUGGGAAAAGGCGCACCGACCAGCCAUUGGGAAGGCUGCAGAGGAGGGAGGCCAGGCUCCCGAGGGCAGCGUCACGCUACGCUCCGUACUCAGCGUCCCUUGUAGGGCCUGACACCUCUAUGAACCUGGGAUCAUGAAUGAAUUCUUGACUCUUAGAGGAAUAUCUGAGAAGAAAAACGAAAAGAAAGAAAAGAAAAGCAAGCAGACACGGAGGGACCAGAUGGAACCAACUAAGCUGGCUUCUUGCAAGACUCAGGUGGCCCACUGUGGUGCAAGAAACGGAUGGCAUUUUGAUCUUGCCCCAUUCAGGUUGGGGAGUGAAGUGCAGGGGCCUUUUGCCCCCUUGCUAUGAAAGAACAGAUUCACUGACUACCAUACAUUGCUGUUCUGAAAGCAGGCUGCACAUGACCUCCAGGACCUUAGUGCUUUGCUUCCAGGCCAAGACUGCAGGAGUCAAAUCUGGCUGGCUUUGCCAAAGUACAGGUGUAUGUAGUUCAGGACACUUGAUUUACAUUUGGAGGGGCUGGGGCAGGUGGAGAGGGCAAGAAAGAAGUAAAGAAGAUGGUGAUGUCAGGGGUGUCUCUUCCCAAAUAUGUAAAUAUACCCAAUAAGUUUAAAUAAGAAAUCUAAUUGCUGCUUAAUUUUUGAUCAUGUACUUUAUCUGUAUAGCAAGCUUUGUUGUCCGAAGUUUUUUUUAUCGAUUUAAAUUGCUGCCUUUGAACAGCCAGGCAGGAGCAAAAUGUUAAAUUUUUAAACUUACUUUGUCUAAUUGUCAUUUGUUAGUCGGUAGUAGAUGUGAAAAUUUAAUUUAUGAAUCCAUGAUCAUCCAUACUACACCAAAGGCAGUCUCUGGAGCACUUAUGGCAAGGUGGCCCCUUUGUGUGCACUGGGUAUAGUUGUCUUCUUUAUCAUGUUAUUUUCAAUAUUAAAUACCUAAGCUGCCAUAUGAGUUUUUAUCUUUACAGUUUUCAAGGAAGAGCACAGAAAAAUUUCCCAUUUCAUAUUCAUAGUAUGUAAGUGGGUUCUAUUUUGUAAUGCUGAAAAUACUUAACAGUGCAUUGAACACUUGGAAGGGAAAUACUUUUUGGUGUUGAUUCUGUUAAUGACUCAGAAGAACAGUACACACCCUUGUGGAUUUUUUUUCCUCAGGUCUGAGUAGCAUUGCCUUAAAUCUUACCCAAUUAGAAAGUCACUUUAUUUAAUGUGAUGUUCAAAUUUUCCACCAAAAAAUCCUUCCAAACAAAAGACAUACUUCUUCUCCAAAAGUGUUCUGUGCUAUCGCAAAUACUCCUUGAGAUUUUAAAGGAAUUUCCAUGUUGUACCCUUUAGUGGCAGCCUUGACUGUUGGCAUAGCCAUCUGUUAUGUAGUGGUAGGCAACUUUCCUGCCAUGCAGGACUCCCUCCUGUGAAGUGUAUGUUUUAUACAGUGUGUGCCUCUUCAUGUGGCGAAUAAUUUCUUGUUAAUGUAUGUUUGAGGGGCUUUGAAUGUCAGCAUUAUUUACCCACAGAGUUAUUCAAGUUGUAAAAGGUUAUACAAUAAUUUAACAACUACUUUUUUUAUUCUGUCAGGUUACUGAGCUCACUUUACGAAAGUGGCUGUAAGUACUUAGCAUGACAAAUUCUGUAACUCAUCUGUUUCAGCAUGCAUUAGGGAAACUGAUAAUGCUUGAGUCCACUAAAUCUGCCUUCAGUACUUUAUCAAAGAGGAACCAAGCCUGCUGUGCUUAUAUCAGCAUCUCGAAGAUUCUUUGGUCCUCCAAUCAGUGUACACAUCUCCACACAAAGAAGAGAAAACCAUCUCUGCUCAGAUACCUAUCGGAUGGAGACACCUGAGUGAACUUUGAUGAAGUACAGUCUGAGUUACCAUCAUGCACGAGUAGAACUGCUCUUGGACCUGUCUUUCUGUCAUUUGCAGAACCUACAUGUUUGAUUGACUUGAACGUUGCAUCUUUUGAGGCUAUUUUGUAAGGUCUCUUGGCAUUUAUCCUAGUUGUCUGUUUGGCAAUGUGCUGUUGAAGUAAGAGACUUUUAAUCUUUAUGUAUAUUUUGUUUUCCCUUGAGAUAUUAUAGUGGUUUCUUUUAGGAAAAUCUGUCAUUAAAAUUAUAGCCUUGCAAAUAACCAAUGAC